GUGAAUGAAUCAACAUCACAACAACUACAACGUCUUUAAGCAGGUACAUAUGUGAUGCGCGGUGAGACGUCCAGCAACUAGUAUAAAAGCGCACCUUUGACGACGAUGUCCAAACAGUAACUCGCCACGCAUCCAUAUCGAACGAUCUAAGCAUUUAAUAAACUUAUAUCAAAGUAAAAGAGACAAGAAACACUUAAAAUGAAAAUAACAAUUAUUCUCUGUGUGUUAUUUCUUUUUGGAAUAACCACAGCUUUUCCCGGUGUUAGUGAAGAAUCUAAAGCAUCUUCACUUUCUCAAUCAACUGUAGAAAGUGAUGACUUAAGCGAAUCCGUUGCUGACUCCGAAACUGACUUAGAAACCGCCAAUACAAUUUGGGGAGGUUAUGGAGGUUAUGGCGGUUAUGGCGGCGGAUAUUACAGACCUCGCUAUGGCGGAUGGGGAUAUACUGGAUAUGGUGGUCAUCGUCGUGGAUGGGGCGGUGGAUGGGGUGGGAGAUACUACGGAGGUGGUUGGGGCAAUUAUGGCGGAUAUUAUGGAGGAUAUCGAAGAGGUUGGGGAGGUGGAUGGGGAGGCGGCCACCGCUGGGGUUAAAAUUUAAAAAAUCAUCUUUAAAAUGUCUCGAUUGGAAUUAAUUAUUAUAUUUGUAUAAUUUUCAUAAUAAAUAACUAAAUUAAA
This is a long non-coding RNA of Dalotia coriaria, 675 nucleotides long. RefSeq lists it as uncharacterized. Lineage: Eukaryota; Metazoa; Arthropoda; Insecta; Coleoptera; Staphylinidae. The record is from RefSeq and is a predicted model, not a curated record. The transcript has 2 exons.